This 31-nucleotide non-coding RNA is filed under the name Mus musculus (house mouse). The record is from RNAcentral. Lineage: Eukaryota; Metazoa; Chordata; Mammalia; Rodentia; Muridae.
UGNGUUGCUGAUUUUACUCACAGCUGGUGAC